AUUGAACGCUGGCGGCAGGCCUAACACAUGCAAGUCGAGCGGAUGAAGGGAGCUUGCUCCUGGAUUCAGCGGCGGACGGGUGAGUAAUGCCUAGGAAUCUGCCUGGUAGUGGGGGAUAACGUCCGGAAACGGGCGCUAAUACCGCAUACGUCCUGAGGGAGGAAGUGGGGGAUCUUCGGACCUCACGCUAUCAGAUGAGCCUAGGUCGGAUUAGCUAGUUGGUGGGGUAAAGGCCUACCAAGGCGACGAUCCGUAACUGGUCUGAGAGGAUGGUCAGUCACACUGGAACUGAGACACGGUCCAGACUCCUACGGGAGGCAGCAGUGGGGAAUAUUGGACAAUGGGCGAAAGCCUGAUCCAGCCAUGCCGCGUGUGUGAAGAAGGUCUUCGGAUUGUAAAGCACUUUAAGUUGGGAGGAAGGGCAGUAAGUUAAUACCUUGCUGUUUUGACGUUACCAACAGAAUAAGCACCGGCUAACUUCGUG
Molecule: ribosomal RNA, 484 nt
Filed under: uncultured bacterium
Lineage: Bacteria
Description: partial 16S ribosomal RNA
Rfam family: Bacterial small subunit ribosomal RNA
Source: RNAcentral